GUCCAGACUCCUACGGGAGGCAGCAGUGGGGAAUAUUGCACAAUGGGGGAAACCCUGAUGCAGCGACGCCGCGUGAGUGAAGAAGUAUUUCGGUAUGUAAAGCUCUAUCAGCAGGGAAGAUAAUGACGGUACCUGACUAAGAAGCCCCGGCUAACUACGUGCCAGCAGCCGCGGUAAUACGUAGGGGGCAAGCGUUAUCCGGAUUUACUGGGUGUAAAGGGUGCGCAGGUGGCAGGGCAAGUCAGAUGUGAAAGCCCUGGGCUCAACCCCGGUAUUGCAUUUGAAACUGUCCGGCUAGAGUGCAGGAGAGGUAAGCGGAAUUCCUAGUGUAGCGGUGAAAUGCGUAGAUAUUAGGAGGAACACCAGUGGCGAAGGCGGCUUACUGGACUGUAACUGACACUGAGGCACGAAAGCGUGGGGAGCAAACAGGAUUAGAUACCCGUGUAGAG
This 449-nucleotide ribosomal RNA is filed under the name uncultured bacterium. Its description in RNAcentral is "bacterial SSU rRNA". It matches the Rfam family "Bacterial small subunit ribosomal RNA", at positions 329 to 793 of the family's 1533-position model. The record is from RNAcentral.